GGCAAUGUGGCGGAGUGGUUAACGCGAUUGACUAGAAAUCAAUUUCCUUCGGGAGCAUCUGUUCGAAUCAGGUCAUUGUCG
This 81-nucleotide transfer RNA is filed under the name Apiotrichum porosum. Its description in RNAcentral is "Trichosporon porosum tRNA". It matches the Rfam family "tRNA". From Rfam's summary of the family: Transfer RNA (tRNA) molecules are approximately 80 nucleotides in length. Their secondary structure includes four short double-helical elements and three loops (D, anti-codon, and T loops). Further hydrogen bonds mediate the characteristic L-shaped molecular structure. tRNAs have two regions of fundamental functional importance: the anti-codon, which is responsible for specific mRNA codon recognition, and the 3' end, to which the tRNAs corresponding amino acid is attached (by aminoacyl-tRNA synthetases). tRNAs cope with the degeneracy of the genetic code in two manners: having more than one tRNA (with a specific anti-codon) for a particular amino acid; and 'wobble' base-pairing, i.e. permitting non-standard base-pairing at the 3rd anti-codon position. The record is from Rfam by way of RNAcentral. Lineage: Eukaryota; Fungi; Basidiomycota; Tremellomycetes; Trichosporonales; Trichosporonaceae.